CCUACGGGAGGCAGCAGUGGGGAAUUUUGGACAAUGGGCGCAAGCCUGAUCCAGCAAUGCCGCGUGAGUGAAGAAGGCCUUCGGGUUGUAAAGCUCUUUUGUCAGGGAAGAAACGGUGGGGGCUAAUAUCUCCUACUAAUGACGGUACCUGAAGAAUAAGCACCGGCUAACUACGUGCCAGCAGCCGCGGUAAUACGUAGGGUGCAAGCGUUAAUCGGAAUUACUGGGCGUAAAGCGUGCGCAGGCGGUUUUGUAAGUCUGUCGUGAAAGCCCCGGGCUCAACCUGGGAAUUGCGAUGGAGACUGCAAGGCUUGAAUCUGGCAGAGGGGGGUAGAAUUCCACGUGUAGCAGUGAAAUGCGUAGAGAUGUGGAGGAACACCGAUGGCGAAGGCAGCCCCCUGGGUCAAGAUUGACGCUCAUGCACGAAAGCGUGGGGAGCAAACAGGAUUAGAUACCCUGGUAGUCCACGCCCUAAACGAUGUCUACUAGUUGUCGGGUUUUAAUUAACUUGGUAACGCAGCUAACGCGUGAAGUAGACCGCCUGGGGAGUACGGUCGCAAGNUUAAAACUCAAAGGAAUUGAGGCNGAGAGNGCGACGACGACGACGAGGGAGGAGG
This 617-nucleotide ribosomal RNA is filed under the name uncultured bacterium. RNAcentral describes it as "bacterial SSU rRNA". It matches the Rfam family "Bacterial small subunit ribosomal RNA", at positions 338 to 944 of the family's 1533-position model. The record is from RNAcentral.